CCUACGGGAGGCAGCAGUGGGGAAUAUUGCACAAUGGGGGAAACCCUGAUGCAGCGACGCCGCGUGAGGGAAGAAGGAUCUCGGGAUGUAAAGCUCUAUCAGCAGGGAAGAAAAUGACGGUACCUGAGCAAGAAGCCCCGGCUAACUACGUGCCAGCAGCCGCGGUAAUAUGUAGGGGGCAAGCGUUAUCCGGAUUUACUGGGUGUAAAGGGAGCGUAUGCGGCAGCACAAGUCUGGAGUGAAAUGCCGGGGCUUAACCCCGGAACUGCUUUGGAAACUGUGCAGCUAGAGUGCAGGAGAGGUAAGUGGAAUUCCUAGUGUAGCGGUGAAAUGCGUAGAUAUUAGGAGGAACACCAGUGGCGAAGGCAGCUUACUGGACUGUAACUGACGUUGAGGCUCGAAAGCGUGGGGAGCAAACAGGAUUAGAUACCCCUGUAGUC
This 440-nucleotide ribosomal RNA is filed under the name uncultured bacterium. RNAcentral's name for it is "partial 16S ribosomal RNA". It matches the Rfam family "Bacterial small subunit ribosomal RNA", at positions 338 to 795 of the family's 1533-position model. The record is from RNAcentral.